GACGAACGCUGGCGGCGUGCUUAACACAUGCAAGUCGAACGCUGAAGCUCAGCUUGCUGGGUGGAUGAGUGGCGAACGGGUGAGUAACACGUGAGUAACCUGCCCUCUUCUUUGGGAUAACGCCCGGAAACGGGUGCUAAUACUGGAUAUUCACUGAUUCUCGCAUGGGGGUUGGUGGAAAGGUUUUUUCUGGUGGGGGAUGGGCUCGCGGCCUAUCAGCUUGUUGGUGGGGUGAUGGCCUACCAAGGCUUUGACGGGUAGCCGGCCUGAGAGGGUGACCGGUCACAUUGGGACGGAGAUACGGCCCAGACUCCUACGGGAGGCAGCAGUGGGGAAUAUUGCACAGUGGGCGAAAGCCUGAUGCAGCGACGCCGCGUGAGGGAUGGAGGCCUUCGGGUUGUAAACCUCUUUCGCUCAUGGUCAAGCCGCAGCUUUGGGUUGUGGUGAGGGUAGUGGGUAAAGAAGCGCCGGCUAACUACGUG
Molecule: ribosomal RNA, 482 nt
Filed under: uncultured bacterium
Lineage: Bacteria
Description: partial 16S ribosomal RNA
Rfam family: Bacterial small subunit ribosomal RNA
Source: RNAcentral